UACUUUUAGAAGAACUUGAGCAACUGUAUAAAUAGGUGCUUGUUACUUUAUCCUUCAUGGUGAUAAAUGAUAGUGAUAAAUGCAGGUGGCUCUCUUUGGAUGUAGGCAUAUCAAAGAAGCACGUAAAACUUCCCGUGUGUUUUUCUUUUCUUUUCAAUAUGAUCGUUAUUUUAAUUUGUCUGUAUUUUUUCCACAUUUUUCAUUUUUAAGAUUUUUCUGUGAGGAUGAAGUAGAAAAUGAACUUACUGAUCAAAGAUGGAUGGAAGGUAGCAAUUUUUUUGCGUAGAUGGUCCACCAUGGACCAAGAGUAAAUGCAUUGUGGGACCCACUUAUCUUGCAUGUGAGUCUCACAUGCUUGUGUCUCGGUCUGUGGUGGAAUGGAAGAAAAAUCCAGAUACGAGUAGAUAGCAGAACCUUUUAUUUGGAGGUCGAGGUGUAUUCUGCCCUUACUGCAUUUGAAUUAUAAUUGAAAGUUAAUGUUGGUUUUGCUCUUCAGACCUGCAUAAGUGAAUUUGUUUUUAUUCUAUUUUUUAGAGGUUAUAGAAAUGUUUAUUUGAGCUGUCUAAAAUUCUUGUAUCAGAUUACAUAUUGAAAGUUUACUUAUCAAUUAUGCAAUCUAUCCGAAUUUUGGAUUGACAAAGUUUAUCCACUUGUAGGAAUUUUUCCCCCUGUUUUUUAAGCUUCCUUGGACACUCACAAUAUUAUGACAAUUCUUCUAAAGUAAAGGCCUGUAAGAAAAAAUGAAAAUCGCAAAGGAAACAAUAUUGUAGUGUAGGUGCAUGCAAUGGCUUUGUAAUAAAGUUAAGAAAGCAAUAUUAUAUUAUCAGCACAGAGUCAUGCACUUGCACUUCUCUUUUUUUCAACCAUAUGGGUUUCCAUCUCUUGUAACCAAAUUGUCCCUUGUUCACAGAUGGGGGAAUACGCCGCUUGAUGAAGCCCGUCUAGGUGGCAAUAAGAACUUCAUUAGGUUGUUUGAGAUUGCAAGAACUUCUCAGAUCUCUGAGUUCUCUGAUUGUCAUGGACAGAAACAAGGUACUAUUGUAAUUUCAUGUAUUGUCUUUCAUUUGAUCCUAAUUAUUGCUGGAAUACAUCUACGAUACAGUUUGUUGCACCCAAAAGGUGCCAGACUAUUCAUUAAUCAGUUCAAUAUUUAGUUUAUGAAGCAUAAUAAAAGCUUAAGAAGAAAAUAGCAACAUAUAGUUUAUCAAGAAAUGGAAUUGUUUAAACAGAAAACCCCUAAUUUAGUGUAGGAAUGAGAAACAAUUCUCAGUCAAUGGUUCUUCAAUCAUCACCGAUGAUAUCAUCCUGACUAUACCUGAUUAUAUACGAGUAUUGUUGUUCUGGUUCAGUCUGGAUCGGUUCAGGUUCGGUCUAGUUUUGAUCAAAUCUAACAUUCUAUUUAUUUUUUUAAAUUUAAAUUUUGGCUGGUUUUGUUCUGGUUCAAAAAUGGUUUCUGUCAAGCGGAUUAGACCAGUCCGGUUUCGGUCCCGGAUUAGACCAGUCCGGUUUCAGGCCAAAACCAGACAGUGGCCGGCCAUGCCUAAUGUCAAAAAUACAAAACGUUAUUCCAGUUAUAAACAUAUAUUUGCUAAAAGGUGGUCUGAUUUUUAUGCUUGAAAUGGUUUCUCUACUAAUACCUCAAAACAUCUUAUUUUCUAGCAGCAGCUAAAAGGCAACGAAGGAGAUGCACAGUGUAUCCAUUCCACCCUUGGGAUCCAAUAGAGAAGAGAAGACAGGGAGUGGUAUUGUGGGUUCCUCAAACCAUGGAAGAGCUUGUCAAGGCAGCAAUGGAGCAAUUGAAUUGCUUGGGAUGUUGCAUUUUGUCUGAAAAUGGGGGUAAAAUUGUUGAUGUCAACAUGAUUACUGAUGACCAGAAACUAUAUUUGGUCAGUGAAUCAUAGCAUGAUAUCUAAUUCGCCAGUAAAAUAAGCUAUUACAGCAUGAUAUCUAUUUCGCCAGUAAAAUAAGCUAUCUCCUUUCCGUUUAUUUUGAGAGAUGAUACGGUAUCUACAAUGUGUUCUAGUGCAACUUUUUAUUGAAUAUUGGAUAAACCUUUGAUGAGGAUAUUGGGGGUGUAAUAUGCUAUUAUAAUGCUGUGAUGCUAUGCUAUUAUGUUAGUAGAAUU
RNAcentral lists this unclassified non-coding RNA (2125 nucleotides) under Hevea brasiliensis (rubber tree). Lineage: Eukaryota; Viridiplantae; Streptophyta; Magnoliopsida; Malpighiales; Euphorbiaceae. The record is from RNAcentral.